UACGGAGGAUUCAAGCGUUAUCCGGAUUUAUUGGGUUUAAAGGGCGUGUAGCCGGGUUGACAAGUCAGAUGUGAAAUCCUGCGGCUUAACCGCAGAACUGCAUUUGAAACUGUUGAUCUUGAGUACUGGAGAGGCAGACGGAAUUCCUAGUGUAGCGGUGAAAUGCUUAGAGAUCAUACAGAACACCGAUUGCGAAGGCAGCUUACCAAGCUACUUCUGACGUUGAGGCACGAAAGCGUGGGGAGCAAACAGG
Molecule: ribosomal RNA, 253 nt
Filed under: uncultured bacterium
Lineage: Bacteria
Description: partial 16S ribosomal RNA
Rfam family: Bacterial small subunit ribosomal RNA
Source: RNAcentral